Olea europaea var. sylvestris is the source of this 956-nucleotide long non-coding RNA. RefSeq lists it as uncharacterized. The record is from RefSeq and is a predicted model, not a curated record. The transcript is spliced from 3 exons. NCBI's taxonomy places the organism in Eukaryota, Viridiplantae, Streptophyta, Magnoliopsida, Lamiales, Oleaceae.
UCAUCUUUGGUAAGUAAGUAUAUGAUUUCGAUGUACUCACGGAGGAGAACACAAAUCAACUUUCAUCUUUCAAAUUGAACAACCGGGUCCCACUCCAAACUUGUGCCAAAGUCGGCCUAUGACUUUUUUUUUUCUCAACAAUACUGUAGUCUGUAGCUAAUUCAAAAUGUUUUUAUCAUAAUUUUACUAGCUGGAGCUUGUGGUUUUGGUGGAUAUGGGACGUUUGUCAACAAUGGUGAAAUCACUGGAGUCUCUAGGCUUUACAGGAAUGGAAUUGGUUGCGGUGCUUGCUAUCAGGGAAGGUGCAGAAUCCCAACACAUUGCAGCGAGGAAGAAGCGAAGGUAGUGGUAACGAAUUAUGGCGAGGGAGACCGUACAUACUUCAUACUGUGUACACGAGCGUACGCAAAAUUGCCUUGAUCCAACAUGGCUACAGAACUAUUUGCAUACGGCGUAGUUGACAUCGAAUUCAAAAGAAUUCCAUGUCGUUAUGGCUAUAAUCUCUUUCUAAAAGUCCAUGAGCAUAGCAAAUACCCUCAGUACUUGGUCGUAGUGCCAUUGUAUAAAGAGGGAACGUAUGAUAUCAUCGCGGUUGAAAUAUGACAGGAGGAUCGCAAGGAAUGGAGGCCAAUGUAAAGAGUCUUUAGAACAGUAUUCGACCAUCAGAACCCACCACCGGGGCCUCUCAACUUUAGACUUCAGGUGGUGGCCGAGGGCAGCGUGGAAAUGAAGUGGGUGCAAUUAACCAGUGCCAUUCCAGUGAUUGAAAGGCUGGAAUUGCUUAUGACACUGCUUUUCAGCUUAACUAAUUAAGCUCCAAGCACGAAUGUGUAACUUGAAUACUUAAUAUUUCUAGUGUUUACUUGAUAUGUUUGUAGCAGUGCUUUGGAUAAUGCUCGGUGAAGGACUCUCUUCACUUUAUUUGUAACUCGUGUUUAGUAUUGAUAUGAAUAAAA